GAUGAAGAACGCAGCGAAAUGCGAUAAGUAAUGUGAAUUGCAGAAUUCAGUGAAUCAUCGAAUCUUUGAACGCACCUUGCGCUCUUUGGUAUUCCGAAGAGCAUGCCUGUUUGAGUGUCAUGAAAAUAUCAACCUUGACUUGGGUUUUGUGCUCUAGUCUCGGCUUGGAAUUGGGUGCUUGCCACUUUUACGAGCGGCUCACCUUAAAUGUAUUAGCUGGAUCUGUCUUUGAGACUUGGUUUGACUUGGCGUAAUAAGUAUUUCGCUAAGGACAUUCUUCGGAGUGGCCUCGUUUCUAGGACGCUUGUCCGCUUUCCAAUACAAGUUCCACCUCGUGGACAUGACUUUUUAUUAUCUGGCCUCAAAUCAGGUAGGACUACCCGCUGAACUUAAGCAUAUCAAUAAGCGGAGGA
RNAcentral lists this unclassified non-coding RNA (413 nucleotides) under soil metagenome. RNAcentral's name for it is "partial contains 5.8S ribosomal RNA, internal transcribed spacer 2, and large subunit ribosomal RNA". The stretch from base 1 to 120 matches the Rfam family "5.8S ribosomal RNA", at positions 35 to 154 of the family's 154-position model. The record is from RNAcentral.